CUAAUUUUUGGUGUGUUGAUCAUGUUGUGUGUUCUGUUUCGCCAUGAUUUUUCUUGAGAUUUAUUUAAUCAUUUUUGAAUUAAUGUGGAUUUGUUCAUUCUGUUGCUUCAAUGUGCUUCCAACUUGCAUGCUUUGCCUUAUUUGAUUUGUGAAAUGAAUUUGGUUGAUGCUAUUGACAUGAGACCUUUUGGAUUAUCUUCUUAUUGGAUUAAAGUUGAUUCAUGUCAAUUUUCAGGUUCUGUUUUGAAUUAUUUCUCCCUCU
This 262-nucleotide long non-coding RNA is filed under the name Lathyrus oleraceus (garden pea). RNAcentral describes it as "Pisum sativum (pea) long non-coding RNA (PSAT_LNC008922)". The record is from RNAcentral. Lineage: Eukaryota; Viridiplantae; Streptophyta; Magnoliopsida; Fabales; Fabaceae.